UGCUAAGGAUAAUCAUAAUAAAGUUUGUGUGCUAAUCAGGGCCUGCCAGCUAUGAGGCAAGGUGAGGCAACUGCUUCAGGUGGGAGGAUCCACAGGGACAGUAGAUUCCAAUGUAGGAUCUUUAUUCCCCCCCCCCUUGUGGCUGAUGUAGAUCUUGACUCACCUCUUCUUUCCUGGAGUGUGUGUGGGGCAUUUUGUGGCUCACUUCUUUUUGUGGCCAAAAGUGUCUCAGGCCAGCCCUGGUGCAUAAAAGCACUACAUUGGUGUAGGUAUUCCCAAGGCCAAACCAACAGCUGCUAUGGACCUCCUCCAGCAGAAGAGACACUAUAAACAUCUGCUGGCACGUAAGAAAAGGGAAGCCAUUAAGAACACCUGAACUUGACUUAUUCAGGCAGUUAAAUCCAAUGAUUCAGCCACAUUCUGACAUAUCACAUCUAGCCCACAAGGCUAUGGCCCAACCAUGGUGGACUGUCACAUUCCCCCAGGGACCUGGGAGGCACACUUUCAGGAUGUUUACUCGGGCAGUUCUGCUGAAAAUGGAAGAGCUAGCCAAAUGAUAGGAAAUCUGCCUAUGUGGGCUCCAGUGAUGGUGACAGAUAUUAAGAACUAGGUAGCUUAGCUAAGACUGGGGAGGGCCCCAGGGGAAGACCUAAUCCCAGCAGAGGCCAUUAAAAACAAUUUGGACUUCUGGGCCCCCACUCUGGCUUCACUCUUGACCUGCAUCAACACUCAUGGUCAAGUCUCCAAUGACUGGGGGCUUGCAAUCAUUGCCCCUAUAUAUAAAAAGCUGAUGAGAUAAAACAAGAUAUAUAGUCAACAUCUAUUUCUGUGUGGAAUGGUUCAUUUCAGUGAGAAUACAUACAUUAUAUAUUACCGGUACCUGUAAUCCAGAAACCCAGCAGGCUGCUGCUGGAUGGACAAAACACUGUUUCUUCUCCAGCAGCAGAUUGCAUUGUCGGGCUUCAGAGAGAGGAAGAGAAGCCUUCAAGUUACACUAUUCAUACUCUUUAAAAAGUGUGUUUAAGAUAGCCCUUUCUAUUUUUUAAAGAAAAGCAGAAACAUGGGCUCCAAUUUGCAAUGCACAUCUGGUUCAGAAAGCAGGACCAGUGUUAAGUUGUGGGCGAACAUGUCACAGUGAUUCUUUAAACAGCUCUUCUUUAUUCAGAUGCCAGAACAGAACUAGGCUGAGGAGCUCAGUCAGGCUGCUUAUAUAGAGUUCCAGAACAAUGCAACUGUUGCCAUUUUCUAAAACUAUCCAAUCACUGAACUUCACUUUUCGAUCCUUCAUUUGCAUAACUAUCUACAGGGUGAGAACUUCAGUACAUAACACCCCUCCCCACCGAGAUAAGGCGUUAAGUUACAAUCGUAAUGGUUUCCUUAUAUACAGCACUACACGUAAUGGUUCAAUUAGGCACAAAAGCAUAUCGGUUACAUUUCACAUACUUAGACCAACAGUGAUACAUGUCCAACAACAUAGUCCUUUAAAUAAGUUGGGCGCUUGGAAACUCUGUCAGACCGCUGGGGACUGGUAGCCAAGUCCAGGGGGCCACACAAUUCUUGCUGAGGCUGUGGUGUGACCCUAGGUGGCGUUGAAACCAAAUCCCCUGGAUCCGCUGCUGUGGGUGGAGCCUCCACAAGUGGAGUGGUCUGAGCCUGUGGUAAGUCUGGCAGACCCUCUGAAGUGGCUUGGUUCGGCUCCACGCUGGCAGUUUGCGAGGGAGGUGUAGGUGGAGCCUCGCCAUCUGUAAGUGUUUCUUCCGGAGCCACGAGCGCAGUUGGGGGCACCACGGUAGUGUCCAAGUCCCCAACCCUGCGCCUAAGCUGUCUAUGUGCCGGCGCCACAAGCGUCCGUCUUCGAGUGCCACCUGGUACAAGCGAGGUCCAGUGACUCCCACUACUGUGGCUGGCACCCAAGGAAUGUCCCCCACAUAGUUCCGGGCAAAGGCCUGGUUUCCUGGAACAAAUGACCGUGGCGCGUUGGCACAGCCUGGGGGUUCGGCCACAGCAAAGUCCGGGUGCAGCUGGUCGAGCGGUGACCUGAGGCGGCGGCCCAUAAGCAGUUCAGCAGGACUCCGCCCUGUGGCCGCAUGAGGGGUGAUGUGUUGCACGAACAAGUAUUCAGUGACCCGCUGGUGCCAGUCUCCCCGGUCCAGGCGUGCCAGUGCCUCUUUUGCUGAGCGCACCAUUCUCUCCGCUUGCCUGUUGCUGGAUGGAUGAAAUGGUGCCGUUAGGGCAUGGCGGAUGCCCAGUCCCAAAAUAUACCGCUUUAAAAGUGCCUGACGUGAACUGCGGUCCGUUGUCGGAGACAAGGACAUCAGGACACCCAUGCAUCGCAAACAGGCCUCGCAGCACCCGGAUGACGGCCUCGGUACUGGUGGAGGACAUCAGGGCCACCUCCAGCCAUUUGGAGUAGGCGUCUACUACUACCAUAAAGGUCCGGCCGUGAAAGGGGCUGGCCAGAUCAAUGUGCACCCUCGACCAGGGUGUCUUUGGCGUCUCCCAGGUGUGUCCCUUAGCUGCCGGUGGUGCAGGUCUCGAUUCUUGGCACGCUUGACAGGCAAACACCCAGGCAGUGAUGGCAUCGUCCAUGUUAGGCCACCAGACGUAACACCGAGCCAACGCCUUCAUUUUGAUGAUUCCCGGGUGGCCAACGUGCAGAGCCUCCAGGACGCGUUGACGGAGUCUUUGGGGAAUCACGACGCAGUCUCCCCACAGUGUUGUUUCAAUAUUACUGACAAUUCUAGAGCCAUUCAAAGCCAAAUCUCUCAUUUGCAAAAUCUUACACAUCACAUUAAACAGGACAUUGGAUUUUCUGGCCUCUGGGAUUCACCCAGUGGCUUAUUGCUUGGCUGCCUAACCUUACUUGGCUUCGUAGUCUUUUUCAAUAUGCUAUUGUCAUAAUUUGUAUUCUUAUCUUGCUAUGCUGCUUCCUUCAAUGCGUUCCUAGCCUCAUAAGUCUUUUCUCUCGGCUUCUCUCUCCCCCUCAGCCACCAAGUAAACUCCUUGCUGCUUACUUUGCGAAAUGGCAACACCAACAGUAAACUUUAGGGGAGAUGUGGGCGGACUUAUUUUGGGCAUGCGCUGGCAAACCACGUAUCCUGAAGUACUUUUGUCCCAUCGACCCUGGCGAACUUAUUUUGGGCAUUCGCUGGCACACCACUAAUCCUGAAGUAUUUUUGCCUUAUUUACCUAGAACGCCUCGCAAACAAGAAAAGAAAGGGGGAGAUGAAGGGAAGUUCUUUUUCUGCAGUUCUCUUACUGCACAUAACUGUGUGGCAUUGUGGGAAGUCUUGCUAUUAGAACUAUUGCUUCUUUUCUCUUGCAUUCUGGGAAGUCUCGCUUCUGCUUCUGCACAUACUGUUCCAAACACACCAAGCCUAACACACCUAGACAUUCUCUCAUUCAUCAGUUCAUUUUAAGUUCAUGACCAAAACAAUAUGGUCUGUUCUUAAUGCAUAGCUGACCACAUCUACGGAACUUGAUUAUUAUAUUCUUUCAUGUUAUGAUCAAUCAUUAGUAAUUGUUUUAGUCAUGUUAUAUUAAUCUUUAGUUAUAAUUUAAUUAGGAGGAUUCAUGCCUGUCUAGUUCUAGCUCCAUUUCUCAUCCUUUGAUCUAUCAGUGAUAAAUGGUUGUAUGUAAUUCCCGCCUUGUACCUAUGUUAACCAAUCAGCAACAAGAUGCUUUGUGUUUGUAUCAACCAAACAGCCACAAGCACACCUGUGGCAAUGUUUGUAAUAUUCAAUAAAAGAGAGUUCCCGGGGCUUGUCCCGGCAGACGCCUCUCAUAUGACACCUACCACUCGUCUGUCGUGAUUUUCAACCCAACAGACAGCUGCGAUGAGCCGAGAGUUCAUGUUGUCUGGUUGCGAACGGUUGGAACUCUGAUGCAAAAGGCCCUUGUGGCCACCCCCUCCACACCCAGUUGAGCAUACGGCUGAUGGUGCGAUCCUCGGCAGAUGCGGAGGCCACAGUGGCAGCCGAUACAGGGGCUGCUGGAAGAUCCUCAAUCAGGAGGAGCGAUGAAACUGGAGCCGGGUCUUCCACAAACACUGGAAGAGGGCAACGGCUGAGGGCAUCGGCAUGGCCCAUCGAUUUCCCCGGGCAAUGGACGAGCCGGUAGUGGUAGGCAGCCAGGAAAACAGUCUAUCGCAGCAUGCGCGGCGAGAGGACCGGUGGAGUUGGACCAUCACCGGCAAGGAGCGGCUUGUGGUCAGUGAUGAGGUCAAAAGUCCUGCCAUAGAGGUAUUCAUGGAACCUCUUCACUCCAGCCACAAGUGCCAGUGCCUCCUUAUCGAGCUGGCUGUAAUUCCGUUCAGUCAGAGAUAGCGUCCUGGAAAAGUAGGCGAGCGGUGCUUCUCUUCCGUCUGGAAAACGGUGACUAAGGACAGCGCCGAUGCCAAAAGGUGAGGCGUCGCAGGCAAGGACCAGUGGCCUGGCUUCACUGUACUGUAUCAGCACACUGUCCGAUGAAAGGAGAGCCUUGACCGCGUUGAAGGCCGCCGUCUCCCGAUGACCCCAGGACCAAGGCGUCUUUGUGCUGAGGAGUCGGUGAAGAGGCUCAGCCACUGUGGCUUUGUGGGGCAAGAACAUGUUAUAAAAGUUCAGCAGCCCCAGGAACGCCUGCAACUCCGUCUUGUUCUUUGGGAUGGGGGCCUGCUGGAUAGCGUGGAUCUUGGAUGUGGUCGGGUGAAGGCCGGAGGUGUCGAUAAGAUAGCCCAGGAACUCCACCUGUGGAACAGCGAUCUGGCACUUCUUCCUCUUUGCCUUGAGCCUGGCCUCUUGGAACCUGGUCAGCACGGCACGGAGGCGCUCAAACACUGCUGGUGUGAGUCUGCGGGCACUAAGACGUCAUCAAAAUAUGGUACCACGCCCGGAAGCCCUUGCAGGAGACGCUCCAUAAGGCUUUGGAAGAUGCCAGGAGCCACACUCACCCCGAACUGCAACCGGCGGCAACGGAAUGCCCCUCGGUGGGUGACGAUUGUCUGGGCAUCAUCGACGGGCAGUUGUUGAUAGGCUUGGGCAAGGUCCAGCUUAGCGAAGACCUUUUAAAAAAUAAUAAUAAUAAUAUUUAUUAAUUUUCAACCAUUUAAACACAACAAAACAGAUAGACA
RNAcentral lists this long non-coding RNA (5110 nucleotides) under Podarcis lilfordi (Lilford's wall lizard). The record is from RNAcentral. Lineage: Eukaryota; Metazoa; Chordata; Lepidosauria; Squamata; Lacertidae.